GUUAUCGGGAUUACUGGGGCGUAAGCGCACGCAGGCGGUCUGUCAAGUCGGAUGUGAAAUCCCCGGGCUCAACCUUGGGAACUGCAUUCGAAACUGGCAGGCUAGAGUCUUGUACCGUGGAGAAGAAUUCCAGGUGUAGCGGUGAAAUGCGUAGAGAUCUGGAGGAAUACCGGUGGCGAAGGCGGCCCCCUGCCCAAAGACUGACGCUCAGGUGCGAAAGCGUGGGGAGCAAACAGGAUUAGAUACCCUGGUAGUCCACGCCGUAAACGAUGUCGACUUGGAGGUUGUGCCCUUGAGGCGUGGCUUCCGGAGCUAACGCGUUAAGUCGACCGCCUGGGGAGUACGGCCGCUUGGUUAAAACUCAAAUGAAUUGACGGGGGCCCGCACAAGCGGUGGAGCAUGUGGUUUAAUUCGAUGCAACGCGAAGUUUUUUACCUACUCUUGACAUCCAGAGAACUUUCCUGAGAUGGAUUGGUGCCCUCGCGAACUCUGAGACAGGUGCUGCAUGGCUGUCGUCAGCUCGUGUUGUGAAAUGUUGGGUUAAGUCCCGCAACGAGCGCAACCCUUAUCCUUUGUUGC
Molecule: ribosomal RNA, 579 nt
Filed under: Enterobacter hormaechei
Lineage: Bacteria; Pseudomonadati; Pseudomonadota; Gammaproteobacteria; Enterobacterales; Enterobacteriaceae
Description: bacterial SSU rRNA
Rfam family: Bacterial small subunit ribosomal RNA
Source: RNAcentral